Molecule: long non-coding RNA, 2174 nt
Filed under: Coffea arabica (coffee)
Lineage: Eukaryota; Viridiplantae; Streptophyta; Magnoliopsida; Gentianales; Rubiaceae
Description: long non-coding RNA (CARA_LNC003750)
Source: RNAcentral
CCUCUCUUUCGUCUACCUCCCUAGAGCAAGAGCCGUCAGAAAGGAGGGAAGGAGAAGCAGGCGACACCGUUAAUCGAUCUGACAACUAGGCAUCUAAACUUGUAAGUUUCGAGUUCACGUAAGAAAACUUCUUUUUUGGUUGUAAACGCUUUAGUAGUGGUAUUAAUUGUUCUAGGAAAUCUUAUGGACAUGUAUUAUUGCUAUAUAGGUUUAGAUAUAUAUGUUUCAAUAAGUUUCACAUCUGGAUUAAUAGAAAUAGGAGGGGGUUUGAUUUUAAUCCUGAUUUAUUGGGUGUUUGAAUCUGUUUAAGAAAAAAUAAAAAAAGAGGAAAGGGAAGAGCAGCGGCGGCUGCCGCUGCUCUGUUUCGGCCAGGGCGAUGCAGAAGCAACGCCACAAGAAGAAUUCCAAAGGUUGGCCAUUCGGCCAACCCAAGGCUAAGAAAAAAAAAAAGCAUUAGUUGUUGUCGCCAGCUCUUGCUGGCGACAAUGGAGCAAUUUGGGUUGGCCUUCACGGCCACCCAAUUGAGGAAAUUGGGUUGCCAAGCUCUCUGGCGACUAUGGUCAGCCAUGGUUGGCCAAUGGCCAACCAUGGGCCCCACUAGAAGUUAAAAAAAAUAUAUAUAUUAAUAAUAAAUAUUAAUAAUAAAAUAAAAUAAAAUGAAAAAUGAUGAUAACAAUAAACAAAAAUAAAUAAGUAAAGAGGGAGCAAUUUAAUCUUGGACCAAACUAUAGUAUAUAUAAAAUUUAGUAAAUAUUUAAUAAAUAGAUUUUAAAUAUAACUAGCCCAUUUUUAUAGUAUAUUGUGAAUAUUAAAGUUUAGGACCCAAUCUAAUAUAAUUGUUGGAAGUGAGGGUUAGUCAUUUAAAAUAUUACCUUAUUAAUUAAGUCUAAGGUGCUUAAAUAGAAAUCUAAAACAUGUUAACUUAGCCUUAUUAGAUUAAGUUGUACAAUAUAAGAUAAGCUUUAGAUUGUUGAACGAAGUGCUUAAAAUAAUAAUAAUAAUAAUAAUAAUAGUAAUAAUAAUAAUAUGGAUGAAGCAAAUAAAGGAUGUAAACAAAAAAUAUAAAUAUAAAGACAAGUGUAAUAAAUUAAGACAAUAUUAUAAUAAUAAAUCAAUAUAUAUAUAUAUGUACAUAUAUGCAUAAAUAAUAAUGACACCUACACACGCACAAAGGUAGGAAUAAAGUGAAAUGUGAUAAUAACUAAUUAUUAAAUGUAUAUAAGUGGUAAUAAAAUAAAGUAGCAACGACAAGUACGAUAAUAAUAUAGUAAUAAAUAAUUAUUAAUUAUAAAUAUGUAUAGUAAGAUAACAGUCAAAAUAAUAAACAUGAUUAUGAAUAAUUAUUUUAUUUUAAAUUAGGAAACUUUACAAAAAGGAGAACCUUUCCAAAUUAAGAAACUUUCUAAAAAUAGAAACUUUCCAAAUUAGGAAUCCUUCCAAAAAUAGAAAUCGCCCAAUUUGAGGGAGAUGCGAUUAGGGUCCAUUUAAUGGUCUAGGUAUGAAUCUCAUGCUUACCUAGGGUGGUAUAUUUAUGCAUCUAUAGGAAGUAACAACUAAUUAGGGAACUCAUGCAUUUGAUAGGUACGGUACAAGGAUCUAAGGUAGUCCACUCGAGCAGCUAAACAAAGGUAGGUGGUACUUACCCUUCUGAGAUUUCAAAUGUGUAAAUGAAACUCUCGUUUUCAAUCCUAUUUGGCUAUGUUGACUCGAAAUGAGUUAUGACUUUACGAUUUCUUAUGUACAACUAUCAAUAAGAUGCUUUUAAAUUGCUUGUCAUUCUUUACUACUGAUUGCUUUAUAAAUAACGUUACUUUCAAAAUUACGGAUGUGAAUGAUAUACAAUUGAAUUGAGUUGUACUUAUAUAUUUGUGCACCUAUAAAAUUAAGAGUGCAUGGUCCAACAGAGGGGUAAAUAUUACCUACUAAGCGAUGUGUCGCUCAACCCACUUCUUACCAUUUUUGCAGAUUCGGAAGAGUAUGAAUUGAUUUACAUAGAAGACCCUGAGGAUGUCUUUUAUUAGUUUAGGUGCAUAGAAGUUGGCAGGCUAGCUACUUCUAGUGUUAUCCUAUUUACUUUUGUUUCCGCUGUUUCAAUUGGAGAAUAAAUGUACGAAACGCCUUGAAUAUUCGUAGACUUCCUUUUAUAUGUAAUUCGAACCGCACUUUAUUUGUUU